Molecule: ribosomal RNA, 586 nt
Filed under: uncultured Pseudonocardia sp.
Lineage: Bacteria; Bacillati; Actinomycetota; Actinomycetes; Pseudonocardiales; Pseudonocardiaceae
Description: bacterial SSU rRNA
Rfam family: Bacterial small subunit ribosomal RNA
Source: RNAcentral
CGAAUUCGCCCUUCCUACGGGAGGCAGCAGUGGGGAAUAUUGCGCAAUGGGCGGAAGCCUGACGCAGCGACGCUGCGUGGGGGAUGACGGCCUUCGGGUUGUAAACCUCUUUCGACCUUGACGAAGCCUUUCGGGGUGACGGUAGGGGUAGAAGAAGCACCGGCCAACUACGUGCCAGCAGCCGCGGUAAUACGUAGGGUGCGAGCGUUGUCCGGAAUUAUUGGGCGUAAAGAGCUCGUAGGCGGUCUGUCGCGUCGGUCGUGAAAACUUGGGGCUUAACCCUGAGCUUGCGGUCGAUACGGGCAUGACUGGAGUUCGGCAGGGGAGACUGGAAUUCCUGGUGUAGCGGUGAAAUGCGCAGAUAUCAGGAGGAACACCGGUGGCGAAGGCGGGUCUCUGGGCCGAUACUGACGCUGAGGAGCGAAAGCGUGGGGAGCGAACAGGAUUAGAUACCCUGGUAGUCCACGCCGUAAACGGUGGGCGCUAGGUGUGGGGGCCAUUCCACGGUCUCUGUGCCGCAGCUAACGCAUUAAGCGCCCCGCCUGGGGAGUACGGCCGCAAGGCUAAAACUCAAAGGAAUUGACGG